Molecule: long non-coding RNA, 1443 nt
Filed under: Chinchilla lanigera (long-tailed chinchilla)
Lineage: Eukaryota; Metazoa; Chordata; Mammalia; Rodentia; Chinchillidae
Description: lncRNA (ENSCLAG00000023474.1)
Source: RNAcentral
AAGAAGUUCAGCAUCUUCGUUAUUCCUCAACUAAUGAAAUCCUCCCUCGCCUCACAGCUCUUCAGACUAAGAUAUCAGCACCACACUGAGGUGCCGGUCUAGGAACCGGAAGUGCACCAGGAGCAGCUGCUCACUCAAACCAAACAGAGGCGCCCCAGUGAAGAAGCAUGCGACCCCAGAGAUGACUGCUUGGGUUCAAAUCCCAGCUUUUACUCUGUUGAACUAUUGGCAAACUAGAUGGCUUCCUGUCGCCUCAAUUUCCCAUUUGGCAUGUGAAGGUGCUGGGGAUUGGAUCCAGUGCUUUGCACAUCUACCACUGAGCUACAUCGCCAGCCCCCAAAUGCUUUUUAAAGGUUUGUGCUAGACAUGCCACCAGCAAAUUGUGGUGUGCUGUGUUCUCCAGAUCCUCCAGCUCGUCACAGUCGCUGUUCUCUGAGAAGUCUCCGCUCUGGUCAUCCGUCAGCGUCUUCAGGACCUCACUCUUUCUGUCGGUGGUUGGACAGGUCAACUUGGCUAGACGAGAGGCUUUUCCUGAAAGGCACAGCCCUUGGGGAGUCGAAGCUGCCGUUCCAGCAUCGAUGGUUCCCGUGCCACCUCCACUGCGCUGGCUCGCGCCAUCGUGACCCCAGGAAGAGCUGUGCCAACCAGAUAAGUUCCCCGUGACUCCCGCAAAUGUUCCCUCAGAGACACCAGAGUCCACAGAAUCCUGGUGGAACAGGAAGGGGUGGUGCCAGGAAUCUCCUGUAGUUCGUACAUGUCCAUUGUUUAAAAAGCCGUCAGAGGAACUGUGUCACCCAUGGCUUACUGCAAAUCUACCUUCUCUUCCGUGUUUUUCAAAAGUGGCUGUAGGUGUCUUAGCUGACUAUGUCGCUGAGAAAUUUAGCUAAGCAGGGCAAAGUCAUGCUGUGCUAUUUAGGUCCGUGGUCUCUUUUCAGCAUGGUGAGGCAUCCAACCUCAUGGCCAGGAUCCCAGAAUGUGGUCCUGUUUUCCGAACUCCUUGAGGUUACCAGCUGGAUCUCCCGAGAGGUUUUCUUGUUUUUUUUUUUUUGUUUUUUUUUUUUUGGGGGGGUUUUGGUUUUUCUCCGGUACUGGGAACGGAACUCACGACCUUGCGCUUGCCAGGCAGGCGCUUUGCCACUGAGCUAAAUCCCCAACCCUGGGUUUUCUUUUUAAAAGGGAGCUUAAAUAGCUUGGCCAGCAGCACCCCUUGUGACGAAGCACAGAGAAGCCAGGCUAUGCGUGGCUCACUUUCUUAGUCCCCUCAGCUGCUCAUCCUCAACACCUAAUUCCAGACACUUUUCCAAAAGGGGGGAGGGGGAGGGGAACAUAAAAAGUAUUUGUUACAUUUAAAAAGAAGGGUAAGAAAGAAAAGCUAUGUCUAUGUUUACCUCAUUCAAUUUUUUUUCUUUUUUUUUUUUUUUUUUUUUUUUUUUUUUUUUUUUU